This 9725-nucleotide long non-coding RNA is filed under the name Lynx pardinus (Iberian lynx). Lineage: Eukaryota; Metazoa; Chordata; Mammalia; Carnivora; Felidae. The record is from RNAcentral.
GGGCGUACCCCGGGGGCCUGACUCAGGUGUGGGGGGCGACGGGCGGGCGCGCGGGGGGAGCCGGGAAGCUGCUGGAAGAGGAGGGGCUGGGCGGGGUGUGAAUGGAUGCGGGUGCACCUCGGGCCCGGGAAGAGGCCGAGGGGCGGGCGGUGCGAGCGCGGGCUGUGGCCUCCGCAGAGUUGGGUGAACUCGGGGAAGUCACCCAAACCCUCAGGGCCUGUUUCCUGUUCUCUAAAAUGGCAACAGUAGUAGAUCCGACCUCAUAGGCGCUUUUGGUGGUUUUGACGAAUUUAUGGAACUUUCUUAAUACAGAGCCUGCCCUGUGGUAUUUGGUGGAUGGUGGUGGUUAAACACAGGAACCGGGAAAGAAGAGCGGCUCAGAGGGUGGCGACCCCCGUCUCUAGGGGGAAGGUGUGUAUGCCAGAAACGGGGAGACAAGGGGAUGCAGAAGCCAAAUUUCUGUGGACACCGAAUGUUCGGGACAGGACAUAAUCAGAGCUAGCAGUUUUGAGGGACCGAUUAUAUACUUAGCAGUUCACCUGAAUUAUCCUCAUAAUCUUAUGAGGUCGGUAACUAUUAUUAACAUUUUACAAAUAAGGGACCUAAGGCUCAAGAGAGGUUAAGUAACCUUCCAGAGGUCACAGAGUAAGUGGCCAACACCUACAGUCAGACUCCAGAGCCAGAUUUUGUCCUAAGAGCCAUUGUAGUUUCUUGAGCAAGUCCUGACAGGGGAAGUGGUUAUGUUUAAGUGAUCAGAUUGAAUAAUUAUGAGGUGUCUCUGAAGUUGGCCUUCAGGAAAUACCAAAAAUGUAUGAAGGCCCCUGCCUUCAGAGAAUUUACAAAUUUUAGGGGCAAUCUCCCGUUCAGGCAGAAGAAAUCAGCCAGCAUUUGAUGACCAUUUGCUCUUUCCCCCAACCGAGUCCUUCCUUCCUCCUCCCACCCUUGAUUCUCACAAAAACCCUGUGAGAUUGGCUCUAAGGUUUUGUUUUACAAGUGAAGAACUGAGAUUGAAGAGUGGGGAUUGAAGGGUCCGGUUCUGAGAGGUGAUUGUGCUUUCCCCUUACCCACUCUGCUUCUGUUUCACACAACGAAAAGUUUUCAGUAAUAGUUCAACACCUUAGAAGACGGUAUGGAAUCUAUGGCCAAGUACUGUGUAUGAGCAGUAAUUAAUUGCUUCUCACCUUUGAUAAAUGCUGAGAAGGAAGGCACUUUAGGCCAUGGGGGUGUCUAGGACUUAGAACAGUAGUGCUUUAGGAUUGUUAGGGUGGUAGCAGCAUUCAUGGUAGACGGUAGGAGAAUUGAGUUAAGGAGACAGCAUGGGACUGGUUCGGACAUGAGCUUAUCAGGGCCUGAACUAUAGAAUGGAGUGGGAAGCAGUAGAUUAAGAUGAUUCUAGGAAACCCGAAAAGAAGACUUAUAUAGGGUGGGAUGGGUUUAUAUUAUCAACCCAGGAGCCAGAUCUCCACAGUUUCAAUUUUGAUACUUGGCACUUAUAAGCUCUAUAUCCUUAGGCAAAUUAUUUUACUCUUUAAGCCUCAUUGUCUGCUUUGUAAAACAAGGAUAGUACCUACCUCCUAGGGUUGUUAUAAUAAAAAUACUAUUUACUUAAGUGUUUGGCAGAAAGUAAGCACUAAAUAAUUGUAUAACCGUGGAAACCCGUGAAACCGAGCCCUAAAGAUUAAUCCUAAAGGCACUUCACUUGAAUAGACCCCUUCCAGGACCUGACAGGGGCCCUAACAAUGUGUUCACAGGAUUAUAUUAGUGUUCUAUUGUAAUUUUGUAUUCCUUUUCUUGAAAAUGUCCACCAAAAUUGUGUAUGCUGCAUGCUCCACAAAAUCUGGAUCUGUCCCUAGUAGAAACUGUAGUGUUGUGAAGAGUACAUACUUUGGGAUCAGAAGGUUUGUUCCCAUAAUUUACUAUUGGUGUUACUCUGGACAGUUAAUUCAUUGAACCAUUGAACUCUUCUGGGCCAGGUAAAUUGGAGAUAAUAUCUAUCAGCCCAAGCUAUUGUGAUAAUCAAGUAAGAGUAUAUGCAGAAGGGGUUGGUAAAACUUGGAAAGCACUCCACAAGUGUUUAUGAUUAACAUUAUAAUUUGUUUAUAAAGUGCAUAAGAGGGAAAGAUCAAAAGCAAGGAAAAGGUUUUUAGCUGAAAAAGUAGAAACAGGGUGGGUGAGCUGGCAAAACUGAUGAAAUAAUACAGGUAAAAUGUUUUUCUGCCAAGUUUCUUCCUGAUUAAUCCAUGAGACAUCGAAGAAAUAAAAUUGUAGUAGUUGCAGGAUCAGAAAUUUAGAGCCGAGAGGAGGUUGAAGAUCAUCUGACACAACCCACCACAUUUUACGGAAAUGGAAAUUAAGGUCCAGAGAGCUAAAAGAUUUUUCUAAGGUCACUCAUCUAAUAAAUGGCACGUACCAAGUAAUCUUUAAGAUAAAAAGCAUUUCACAGUGGGGUCUUUCAGAAUCAUUACAUCAAAACCAGAGAAGGCAUGAUAUUCUCUAGUGGCUUUUGGUUUUAUCAUGAAAUUCUUCAGAUUCACCUUCCUGUUUUAGAGGCUGAUAGACUGGAUGAUGCAUGGGUAAUCUGCUGUUGGCAAGCUUGUUAAGUGACCAAAACUUCUGAAGAUUUUAAGGUAAGAGUUAUAACCAGAAAUUUGUAAUGGGAUGAGAAAUGCAAAAAAUUUGAAAAUGUGUAACAGUUACUAUUUAAGCUGAGUAAGUUAUCCAGUUGCUUUAUCUAAAAAGGAAAAUAAUAAAAUUAUAAUUUAUUUUUUCUGGAAUUAAAAUACUACACUUACAUUCCCCUUAAUUAUUCCAUCAUUUGUCUGUGUUAGGAAAUAGGAAGAUGCUGUUAUUCACAUUUCACUAGCACCAAACAAAGCAGGAAAGGGUUUUUUAUUAUAAACACAACAAUACUUAAUUGAUUAAGAAAAAAUCCCCAUUUAUAAUUUAUGAUAACUCAGAAUAUAGGAAAUGAAAUUUGAAAUUUGCCUUCAACCAAAUUGCCUGUGGCUCUGUUUGUAUGUGGCAGUCCAGUUCCUAUACCCUUACUCCAUUCGUGGUUUGAUACAGCUUGUCUCCUGCUGCUUCUCUCUGCCAGCACAGAGACAGUUUUGGUCUAUGCUCUUUCUAAUCUAUAUCAUUGUUUAGGAUCUUUCCUAGUAAUCAUUCCUUCUAGGCAUGGCCCUCCAUAUUUGCCAGACCUGUCUACCUCCUUGAUCCUGGCUAACCCUGGGCUUCUUCCUUCCUUUUACCUUUUCUCCCUCCUUCCUUCCCUCCCUUUCUUCCUGUCUUUAGUAUUCUAGGCAGAUGGGGUCGGGAUUGGAAAUAUAAUAAUAAUAAUAAUAAUGAUGAUGAUGAUAAAUUGGUGUUAUAAUUAGGGAGUGCUUACUAUAUGCCAGGCAUUGAUCUUAGCACUUCAUAUAGUAAUUCAUUUACUAUUCAUAAAAAUACUAUGAACUAGGUACUGUUACAAUCCCCAUUUUACAGACAGAUACAGAUACAAGAAGUUAACUUGCUUAAGGGCAUAUAAUAUUUUCUGGAAUCAUCAGGAAGUAUUCAUUUAGUUUUCACCAAAAAUACAGGAGCAGAAAUGGUUAUAAAUAACUAUUAAUACCAUAGGAAACUAAUCCCUAGAGUUUGAAGACCUCUUGAUUUAGGAAGAUCCUGUUCUAGUUUCCUUCUACCCAUCACAGGGCUAAACAAUCCUUAUAAAAGCUGUUGGCCACAAAAUCUGCCUUUGAAACCAGAAAGUGCACUGCAGGAAACUACUCCCUGAUUAUCUGAAUUUGGGAUUGUUGUGAGCCUCUAGGCAGUAAGUUGGGGGUGGAGACAUUGGGACAUAUUUUUUAAAGCUUAAUUUUAAGAUUACUUGUAUUCCAGGAAGUUCUGGGUGUCCUGGCACCUAUAUUCCAUGUUGUAAGAUCUUUCAUUGUGAGAACUUGGAUCUUAUGGCUCUUACCCAACAGCAGCAGCAGGCAGUUGGAAAUUCUGAACAGCUGCACCUCAAGCUUGAUGUGAGUUAGAAGAGGGGUGCAUGCAAUGAAGGAGACCUCUUAGAUCAUAAUGAUUAGCUUUAUGUAUCCACCUGCCUGGGUAGCCAGACCUGGGUGUUCUAACUGGACCUUGAUGCUGCUGCACUGGUGAAUGAGAUGAGGCUUAAAUAAAGCAUGAGCUUAAUCUGUGGUGACCUCUGAGAACUGUGAAUCUGCCACAGUGCCCCGUGCCACACAAUAUCUAUGACACCUGUGCCCAAGUGAGGUCCAGGGGCUACCAACCUCACUUCUGAGCUGUGUAUUAAUAGAGUGAAGCCUCCUCCCUCCCCCCACCACCUUACAUUUUGCACAAACCAUGAGUUCAGAUGUUAUGCCUGCUGUGCUUUGGUAGGAUUAUUUUUAUGGCCAUAGAGUGAAGUUAUACCUCUUUGGUAGGUAUAUCUACCUUUGGGUAGGGUGCAGAGUUUCCUUAAAUAAGACAUUCUUAUUAUCAGUCAUUCAAAGAAGAAGAAGGUCCUCAUACAGGAAAAACUUGGAACAUAGAACAGAUAGAAGGUGGCACUGGUGGAUUUACCUUUUCAGGGUUUGAACUUAGAGGAGUUAGAAAAUGUUGAGGGCCCUCCCCACUUACAUAAGGGAAAUGGCCUGUGCCACAGAGCUGCCUAGUAGGAGCCAGGCUGACAGGCUUCUGUGGAUACCCAAAAGGGAAGGUAAGUACUCAUGUUUUGUAAGUCUGUUGAUUGAUGCAUCACUCUACCUUAUCCCUGAAUUUUAGCCAAGUUUAAUCUAAAUCACCGAUUGAAAAUUGAAAAGCCUUCAAGGACUAGGAAAAGGUAACCAAGCCCAGUAUAAGGAGUGGUGAGCAGCAUGGUGAAAGUGACCAUACCCAUCUAGGCCUCAAAGUUCAGAUGUUUCAAAUGUGCUUCAUGAAGCCCUUCCCUAAAUAAUACUAAUCACAGUACAAGUUUACUGGACAUUUUUACAUCAUACAUUGUUCAAUAAUGCAGAAGAAAAUAGAGUUUUUUAAACUCCUAAUACUUUAUUUUUAAUCAGUAUGAAGGGGAAAACAAUAGUGAUAGGAAAUUGUGUGGAGGGUUGAAAAUGAGGAAUGGGCAGGCAGUAGGGAGGAGGCCAAACAUAUUACAGCAGCUAGUCUGUUCCAGCUUGAGCUCUGCUGAGCUAUUUAAGAAGCAGGUAAGCAGUGCCUGGGUGGUUCACUCGGUUGAGCACUUGACUUCAGCUUGGGUCAUGAUCCUAGGAGUUGUGGGAUUGAGGCUCAGCAUGGAGCCUGCUUGAGAUUCUCUCUCUGUGUCCCCCCUGCCCCUCUCCCUGCUCACACUCUAUGUCUUAAAAAAAAAGAAAGAAAGAAAAGGGAAUGCUCCCAACCCCCAGUCUUCCUCGUGGUGUCAGUGAUAAUUUAUGAAAGUUUCCCCAAGGAAAAGUUUAAGUCAGAACAAGACUCUUAGUAACAAGAUUUGGCAGUCUCCUCCCUAUGUGGAGAUUCUCCUUUUGUUGUCACCUUUGGCAGAUCAAGAUUCAAGUUUAAGAGACCCAGUGGAUUUCCUGACAACUUCUUCCACAAUUUUCUCUCAUCUCAGGCCAUGGUUCCAUUUUGGUCAUGGCUACAGUGACUGAAAUGGCCCACUAUACUCUUGGCAGUGGACAGCCUUCAGCCUCAGAUGCCAAGCUAACUGCUUAUAGACAAUUCUCUCUAGUGUCUUCAAACUCAUAGUCUCACACUGAGGGCUUUAAUUUUAUCCUGUUUUGGUAGAGCCCUCUUUAAGUCUUCUAGGUGUGCAUAUAUACCUCUGACUAUUUAUCACCUCUGAUCUAGUAGCAAGAAAGAAACUGGAAAAUCUUGUAGUAGAGGAAUACCCUUUGUGCUAUGCUACCAACUUCGAGGACUGCUGACCUGCUCAGUACCUCAGGGCCAGAAGUAUAGUAACUCUCAUCAAGCUCAGAAUACACCAUUCUGGGGCCACCCAGGUGGCUCAGUCAGUUAAGCAUCUUGACUUUCGGCUCAGGUCAUGAUCUCACAGUUCGUGGUUCCAAGCCCUGUGUCGGGCUCUAUGCUGACAGCUCAGAGCCUGGAGCCUGCUUUGGAUUCUGUGUCUCCCUCUCUCUUUGCCCCUCCCCUGCUCAUGCUUUCUCUGUCUCUCUGAAAAAUAAAUAAACAUUAAAAAAAAAAAAAAAGAAUACAGCAUUUCUGCUUCAGCCAUUGUUUUCACCAGUCUCUCGUCCCCACCAUGCACACACACCUUAUUGUUUGUAUACUCACCAUAGCCACAUCAGUGGGAACAAGAAUCUAGAAAAGUUAAAUGCUGCAGGAAGUUAACAAGAGGCACAAAGACAUAAAUUGCAACAGGUAAGACUCAUCAGGUGUAGACAUCUAAGUAGAAGACUGCAUACGGCCUUCGUCUCAUAUUCCAUUAGGCCCAGACAGGCUGGUAAUAGGGUUUUGCUUCUGUUUGCAAUGAAAAGAUAAAGUUAAUCUGGGAGCCCCUAACUCCCAUCUUGUAUAUCUCCUAUAGUUCACUAGUCAUUCUUUUGACCAAUGCAGGUGUGACCACAUCAGGCAUGAAACAGCCCAGACGUGCUUCAACCAUAACAUGGGAGUACGUGAUUCAGACUAUGUCGGCAACAUAGCUCACUUAUGGAAUCCAGUGGAAUGAGAGACAGAUGGACUCCAAGAGUCAUUGGGGAGAACUCUUCAUCACUGCAGCCAUGCACCUAAACCUAAACAGGUUUUUCUGCCAAGAAUCUAGGGAAAUCCCAUCCCAUCUCCCCAAAUUUAUAGAUAACAUCACUAAGGUUUUUUUUACCUGACAAGUACUAUAAAGCUGAGAUUGUGCUCACUUUGGUAGCACAUAUACUAAAAAAAAGCUGAGGUUUUUUUUUAACGUUUAUUUAUUUUGAGAGAGAGAGAGUGGGGAAGGUCCAGAGAAAGAGAGAGAGAGAAUCCCAAGCAGGCUCUGCCAUCAGUGCAGAGCCUGACAUGGGGCUCAGUCCCAUGAACCGUGAAGUCAUGACCUGAGCCUGAAAACAAGAGUUGGACACUUAACCAACUGAGCCACCUAGGCGCCCCUAUUAAGCUGAGAUUUAAACCUAGGUCUAUUUAACUUAGCCUGUGUUAAAUAUUAGGCUAUUUUCAUUUUAUUUUGUUCAAAAUCCUGAGGUCAUAGAGAAGAAUAGAAGGGUAGUGAUGAGGUGGAUAAUAGGAGGCAGAAAACGCAGGGUUGUUUUAAAGUCUCAACCCUGAGCCUUCUAUCUUUUGUACACUGUUUCUUCAUAGAAGACACUUUCUCCUACCUAGUAAGUUGUGUACAGGACAACAUGGAAAUAAAGGAGAGGCAGAUAGACCAACAAGGGAGUAAUUUUAGUAAUUCUAUUAUAUAAUUCAAAUCUCCUUGUAAUGCCAUUUAGCUUCCCCACUGAUUGAAUUAAUCAGGUUUCAUAAUUAUGUUUAUAAUCAGGUUCUUUCUACGUAAUUAUUGUUUGUACUUGAGCAAAUUGCUUAGGAAGGCCACCUCCAAAUCCAAAUUAAAUGUUUCAUUUCCUAUUUCCUUUAUGGGGGCACAUGAUUAUUUUGGGAAAAGCAUUGGCUUGACAAUUAAAUUCCAUGUCUUGCUGUAUCUCCUAGGGAAGACCUAGAUCUCUUUUAAUUAUUUUUUAACAUUACAUAUUCACAAGUCUUACCAACCCAUGGAUGGGAAGGAAGGGCUCUUAGUGGAUCCCUGAAGUAUUACAGACCUCAGGCAAACUUGUAUGCAGUCUUUGUAUUUUAAAAAUUCAGGUAUUCCGGGAAGCCUGGGUGGCUUAGUCAGUUGAGCAUCAGACUCUUGAUUUUGGCUCAGGUCUUGAUCCCAGGAUCGUGGGAGCAAGCCCCACAUCAGGCUCCAUGCUGAAUGUAGAGCCUGCUUGGGAUUCUCUGUCUCCCUGUGCCCCUACCCUGCUCAUGUUCUCUCCUCUCUCUCUCUCUCUCUCUCUCUCUCUCUCUUUAAAAUAAAGAAUAAAUAAGGGAGUAAAAUUCAUGUAUUCUAAAUCCCUAAUGAGUUGUCCACUAUUAAGAAUGCAAAAGCUUCAGAAUUCAGAAAUUACCUUAACAAUAUCAGAUAGCCAUAUAAACAUGUUGUGAUCUAAAUUAAACAUUCUCCAUGUAGAAAACUUUUCUUCGAGUUAGCAAAGCAAAUAAAAUUUCUCCUUAAUUUUCACCUGAAGAGGGAAAGCUAGGGUGAGUGAAGAACAGGGUGUAUUUUAAGCUAGGUAUGAAAGGCCUAAUAGAAAAAUCAAGGAUAGAUUUUUCUCUUGUAUGUUGAAGAGAAAUUUAAAUUAUGUGUUAGUGUUUGGUAUGCUUUCCUGUCAGUUUGGAAAGUUAACCCUUCCAGGACAAUCUCUACUAGAAAUUAAGGCGCUUUUUUUUCCCCCUAAAGUUUAUUUAUUUUGAGAGAGAGAGAGAGCAUACCCGUGGGAGGGGCAAAGGGUGAGGGAGAGAGAGAAUCCCAAGGCGGCUCCUUGCUGUCAUUGCAGAGUCUGAUACGGGACUCCAUCUCACAAAUCAGGUGAGAUCUUGACCUGAGCCGAAAUCGGGAGUUGGACACUUGGGGCUCUGUGCUGACAGUGUGGACCCUGCUUGGGAUUCUGUCUCCCUCCUUCUCUCUCUGCCCCUCCCCCACCUCAAAAUAAAUAAACUUAAAAAAAAAAAGAGUGGGAUGUUUAACUGACUGAACCACCCUAAGCUUUCUUUUCAAAAAGAUUUUUGCCUACUCCUUUUCAGAGAGAUAGCAAGACAUGUUUGACUGAAGAACAUUUGCCACCUUUUGGUUAUCCAGUGUAGUGUAGUACAGUUCCUUUUAUCCUACUUCCCUUUCUUUUCAUAGACUGGAAGAUAUCCAAAAAUAAACGUGUUCAGAAAUGGAGGUAUACAUACAUGAAAGCUAAGGACAGUCCCGUGUAUCUAGGUCUCUAGGCAAUCUUUUCCUGGUCUUUUCGUCUUGGUAUUCUACCCUUAUCAGAAAAAAAAAGAAAAAGAAAAAAAGGACUGUGCUGUAGACUCACUAUAUGAAAGUGCCUCACUUUCCUGAGAAUUUUGAUUCUUGUAUUCAAGAUAUAUGUGGAGUUUGGUUCAGUUAGAUUUAUGACACCAGAAUUGUUGAAAAGCAAUAAAUUACUACUAUAAUUUCUGUUUUAUUUUAAAUAAUAAUGAUCUCUGUUUUUAACUUGCUUGGGAAAGAACAAGCUAUGAACUUUUCUCAGCCUUUGAUGCAGGACUCCAGCUAAACUAGCAAAAGACACUGCCUCAAAGAAACUAAAUAUUUUUUUUCUUUAACAAUUUAACUUUCUAUCUUUUCUCCUUCAAGAUGUAUCAUUAUAAACUUCUUACAAACAAGGACUGUUUCUUCUCAUGGUAUCCUGCAGAUGGCCUUAUACAGACCUACAUAUGGCUAAUAAAAACUUGAGUAUUUUAAAACGGUGAGUCUCAAUGUAACGAUGAUGAUGGUAAAUGGCAACUAACAUUUAUAUAAAAAGUCUGUGCUAGACGCCGUUGUAAACGUUUCACACAGAAUUGCUCAGUGUAAAACCACUUUUAUCCAGUCAUCCUUAAUUUUUUGGCAAACCUCUUUCAGAAUCUGUGUUACAGUGAAUUCCACAAUUCAGCCUUCAUCUCCCCAACAAGAAUAGCUAGAAUUCCACUCUCAUCCUUUAUUAUUUUGACUCCAGGAAACUGUCACUUUUUCC